Molecule: unclassified non-coding RNA, 2520 nt
Filed under: Diabrotica virgifera virgifera (western corn rootworm)
Lineage: Eukaryota; Metazoa; Arthropoda; Insecta; Coleoptera; Chrysomelidae
Description: gastrula zinc finger protein XlCGF57.1-like
Source: RNAcentral
UUCGAAACCGGUAGAGGUGCUUGCUCCACUCUCUGAUUGAACUGGAAUAAUGAUGCGGCUGUAGUUUCGUGUUGCAACGAAAUUGAAAAUGGUUAUUCAUUUUUGAUUUAAAUUUAGGUCCUUGGCAACCUUCAAAAUAAUAUUUGGCAACAUUUAGCGCGCCUAUGAGUUUUAUUUUUACUACAUAUAUGACAUUUGACAAGUCCAAACACAAACCACAAAGCGUGAAAAAAAGCCUGGAAAAGCCACGAUAUAAAGACACAGAAAAGCCUUAUAAGAAGCCCUAUUCCAUCCAGGUAUUCCAGAAUUCUUUUGGCUUCUUUUUAACUAUUAAUAUAUUUCCUAAAUAUUAUACCAAUCAAAUGGAAGUAAAUCAAGAAGUUAUGGAGAAUACAUGUAAAUUAGAAAUAGAUAAUAAUGAAGUGGAUGAUAAUGAUGCUCUUCUGCUUACCUUUAAAACUGAAAUUAAAGAGGAACCGGAGAUAGAUACUACUAAUUCUGAUGAUUUCAACUGUAAUAAGAAACAUCCUGUAAAGACAGAAAUAGAAAGCCAUGAAGAUGCAGUUUGUCUCCUUCAAGUAAAAGAAGCACAUGAAAGUUUCAAAUGUGAAGACACACUAACUGACGAAAAUAACGAAUUAAAAAAUCAUCUUAUAAAUAACCAAUUGAACCAAUGUACAACUGACGUUAGGAAAGUGAAGAUUGUUGAAAAGCCUUUUGCGUCUGAAAAGAAAAGUUUUAGAACACAUUUGAUAGAUCACACUGGAGAAAAAUUAUUUGGAUGUGAAAUAUGCACAAAACAGUUUUCAAAAACUUAUUUAAAAGUUCAUAUGAUUAGAAGACACAACACUGGUAAAAAACCAUUUGGAUGUGAAAUAUGCAGAAAACAGUUUGUAACACAUAAUGAGUUAAAAUUGCAUAUGAGAAUUCACACUGGUGAAAAACCAUUUGGAUGUGAAAUAUGCACAAAACAGUUUUCAAGAAGUAACUACCUAAAAUCUCAUAUGUUGAGAAGGCACACUGAUGAAAAACCAUUUGGAUGUGAAAUAUGCACAAAACAGUUUGUACUACAUAAUGAGCUAAAAAGGCACAUUGCGGUGCAUACUGGUGAAAAACCAGUGUCGUGUGAAAUUUGCACUAAACAUUUUUUACAAAGUUCCGAUUUAAAAAGACAUUUGAGAAUUCACACUGGUGAAAAACCAUUUUCGUGUGAAAUUUGCACCAAACAGUUUUCACGAAGUUGGGUUUUAAAAAAACAUUUGAGCAUUCACAGUGGGGAAAAACCAUUUGGAUGUGAAAUAUGCACAAAACCUUUUUCAAGAAGAAACUACCUUAAAGAGCAUAUGUUAAGAAGGCACACUGAUGAAAAACCGUUUGGAUGUGAAAUAUGCACAAAACAGUUUGUUACACAUAAUGAGUUAAAAUUGCAUAUGACGGUGCAUACUGGUGAAAAACCAUUUAGAUGUGAAAUAUGCACAAAACAGUUUUCAAAAAGUAGGUUCUUAAAAGUUCAUAUAAUGAGAAAGCACAACACUGGUCAGAAACCGUUGGGAUGUAAAAUGUGUGCAAAACAGUUUGUAACACAUAUUGAGUUAAAAAGGCACAUGGCGGUGCAUACUCGUGAAAAAUCAUCUUCAUGUGAAAUAUGCACAAAACAGUUUUCAAGAAGUGACAACCUAAAAGUUCAUAUGAUGAGAAGGCACACUGAUGAAAAGCCAUUUGGAUGUGAAAUAUGCACAAAACACUUUGUGACACAUAAUGAGUUAAAAUUGCAUAUGAUGGUGCAUACUGGUGAAAAACCAUUUAGAUGUGAAAUAUGCACAAAACAGUUUUCACAAAGUAUUUCCUUAAAAGGUCAUAUAAUGAGAAAUCACAACACUGGUCAAAAACAAUUUGGAUGUGAAAUAUGCACCAAACAGUUUGUUACACAUAAUGAGUUAAAAUUGCAUAUGACGGUGCAUACCGGUGAAAAAUUUUGAUGUGAAAUAUGCACAAAAGGGUUUGCAAGAAGUGGUUCCUUAAAAAGACAUAUUACUCUGGGCUAAUUAGCAAAAUUCAUGGAAAAGUUAUUUACCAGCAAUUUUAUUGCUGGAAUCGAACUAUAAGAUCCUAUAUAUUAAUAAUAUAGGUAUGCAAAGUCCGCAGAUAGUGUGCUACUUUUUUUAUAAACAAGAUGGCGCCGACAAAUCGUAUUUUUUUCAAUUAUUGCUCUAUAACUCCGAAGAUUUUAACUUUACAACAAAAACACCCAAAUAAAAAUUCACCGUAAUUAAAUUCUGCAUAGAGAUAUGUUUCUCACGAUUUGCUCCGACGAAAAUUUUCCUCGGAAAAUGCGGGUUUUCCUAACAAAAACUAUAAUUUUCAAAUAAAGUUUUAGGUUACAAAUGUGAAGAUAGACUAACUGAUGAAAGCAACGAAUUAAAAAAUCAUCUUAUAAAUAACCAAUUGACCCAAUGUACAACUGACGUUAGAAGUUUGAUAGUUUACACCGGAGAUAAAUUAUUUGGAUGUGAAAUAUGC